RNAcentral lists this transfer RNA (76 nucleotides) under Chloroflexota bacterium. Its description in RNAcentral is "Chloroflexi bacterium tRNA-Phe". It matches the Rfam family "tRNA". From Rfam's summary of the family: Transfer RNA (tRNA) molecules are approximately 80 nucleotides in length. Their secondary structure includes four short double-helical elements and three loops (D, anti-codon, and T loops). The record is from RNAcentral. Lineage: Bacteria; Bacillati; Chloroflexota.
GGCGAGAUAGCUCAGUCGGUAGAGCAGUGGACCAAAAGUCCAUGUGUCGCCAGUUCGAUUCUAGCUCUCGGCACCA